This 301-nucleotide ribosomal RNA is filed under the name uncultured bacterium. RNAcentral's name for it is "partial 16S ribosomal RNA". It matches the Rfam family "Bacterial small subunit ribosomal RNA", at positions 509 to 807 of the family's 1533-position model. The record is from RNAcentral.
CAGCCGCCACGGUAAUACGGAGGGAGCUAGCGUUGUUCGGAAUUACUGGGCGUAAAGCGCACGUAGGCGGCUUUGUAAGUUAGAGGUGAAAGCCUGGAGCUCAACUCCAGAACUGCCUUUAAGACUGCAUCGCUUGAAUCCAGGAGAGGUGAGUGGAAUUCCGAGUGUAGAGGUGAAAUUCGUAGAUAUUCGGAAGAACACCAGUGGCGAAGGCGGCUCACUGGACUGGUAUUGACGCUGAGGUGCGAAAGCGUGGGGAGCAAACAGGAUUAGAUACCCCGGUAGUCCCUGUCUCUUAUAC